RNAcentral lists this ribosomal RNA (1482 nucleotides) under Triticum aestivum (bread wheat). Its description in RNAcentral is "partial small subunit ribosomal RNA". The record is from RNAcentral. Lineage: Eukaryota; Viridiplantae; Streptophyta; Magnoliopsida; Poales; Poaceae.
AUGGCCGCCGCAGCGGCAGCAGGCGCGGCAUCCUCCCUUGUCCCCUCCACUUCCCAGCGCCGUCUCCCCUUCCGUCCCACCCCCACCCGCCAACCCCUCCUAGCCGCCAACAGGACCCUGACGCUCUCCCCGAAGCCACCCCGCCUCCUGCAUCCCCUCGCCGCGUCCUCCUCCUCUCCGCCUCCGCCCGAGGAUGCUGAGCCAACCGACCCCGUCAAGCUCGCCUUCGCCCGCGCCGCCGCGUACAAGAAGGAGAGGACUAAUCCGACGCCCAAGCCACCGCCACCGCCACCGUCGCCUUCCCCUCCGCCGCAGCCUUCCGCAAAGGAGUCCAGCGGCAGCAAAGAGGCAUUCGAGCGGGCGCUGGAGUACAGGAACGGCAACGGGGGAGGACUGGACGGCGGCUCCCCGCUUCUCAAUCCGUCGCCGACUUUCGGCCAAAGCACGUUUACUAGUAAAGAAGGUGCAUUUGGCAAAGUGGCAAAGAAAAAGGGAGGGUAUGCGUACGAUGAGACGGACUUUUUGGGCCUCGGUUUCUUCGAGAAAAAACGUUAUCAAGGUCCACCACCAGGGCUAUCUCAAGGAAUUGAUCCUUUUUCAAAUGAAGAUUUUCCUGAGGUGGAGAUAGUAGUUGGCGACCCUAGUAAAUUUGGGAAGUCUCGUCGUUCAACUGAAAAUCAACCUCUAGAUGAUAGCGAGUCUGAGGAAACUUCACGUUCAAAAGACGGCAAACAAAAUGAAGAUAGCAAGCUUGAGGAAACACCACUUUCAACUGUUAUUGAACCUGAAGAUGACGAAAACUCAGAGUCGUACAAACCCAGGGUUACAACGUGGGGAAUGUUUCCACGGCCACAAAAUAUUUCAAAGGCGUAUGGUGGUGGAAGAAAUAUAAGCCUUGGUGGAGAGACUCAAAGUGCUGAAGAGAAAGCAGCUAAAGAUAAACGUACCAGAGAACUACUAACUGCGUAUAUUGGUGGAAAAAACAAGACACUCGAUGCAAAAACAAAGGCAGAGUGCACCAAGGCACUGAAGGAAGGUGACGAACUUAUGAAUGCUGGAAGGCUGAAACAAGCUUUGCCUUAUUAUGAAAAAGUGAUGCAGGCUGCGGACUUUAAGACCGAACUUCAUGGAAUGGCUGCUCUCCAGUGGUCCAUCUGUCUGGAUUCACUCUGCAGGUCCAAGGAAGCCAUGGGCAUGUAUAGCAAGCUCAAGUACCACCCAAACGAUCGCGUCAGCAAGAAGGCAAAGAUGUUCAUGUUCAGCUUUCAGGCGGCGGACUUCCUGAAGGUCGACGGCGUGCCAGUGCCGCGCAACACGGGCUACGAGGGGUACUUCGACCAGUUUGGCGGGCAGAGGAACUACUACGCGAACCCGGACGAGCCCGAGGUGGGGAUCCGGCAGAUCAUCCCGUACAUGCUCUUUCUCGUCUCCCCCAUUUUCUUCGUCGCUUUUAUCGCUUUGAGAAAGUCUUUGAUGCUGUAA